This 114-nucleotide ribosomal RNA is filed under the name Octodon degus (degu). Lineage: Eukaryota; Metazoa; Chordata; Mammalia; Rodentia; Octodontidae. The record is from RNAcentral.
CGAGGCCAUACCGCCUGGAACAUGCCUAAUCUUUUCUGAUCUCAGAAGCUAAGCAGGGGUGAGCCCAGUUAGUACUUGAAUGGGAAAAAGGAAAUAAUUGGGUGAAUUCUUUGA